This 251-nucleotide ribosomal RNA is filed under the name uncultured prokaryote. RNAcentral's name for it is "partial 16S rRNA". It matches the Rfam family "Bacterial small subunit ribosomal RNA", at positions 525 to 775 of the family's 1533-position model. The record is from RNAcentral.
ACGUAGGGGGCAAGCGUUGCUCGGAAUUACUGGGCGUAAAGGGUGUGUAGGUGGCCGAUUAAGUUAAGGAUGAAAUACCCGGGCUCAACUUCGGAACUGCAUUUGAUACUGGAGAGCUAGAGUGCAGUAGAGGAAAGCGGAAUUCCCAGUGGAGCGGUGAAAUGCGUAGAUAUUAGGAGGAACACCAGUGGCGAAGGCGGCUUUCUGGACUGUAACUGACACUGAGGCACGAAAGCUUGGGGAGCAAACGG